CUACGGGCCGCUCCAGUGGGGAAUAUUGGACAAUGGGGGAAACCCUGAUCCAGCAAUGCCGCGUGUGUGAAGAAGGCCUGCGGGUUGUAAAGCACUUUCGGUUGGGAGGACUGCUUCUAGCACUAAUAUUGUUGGAAGUUGACGUUACCUUCAGAAGAAGCACCGGCUAACUCCGUGCCAGCAGCCGCGGUAAUACGGAGGUGGCAAGCGUUAAUCGGAAUUACUGGGCGUAAAGCGCGCGUAGGCGGCUAGAUCAGUCGGGUGUGAAAGCCCCGGGCUUAACCUGGGAACUGCAUCCGAUACUGUCUAGCUUGAGUACAGGAGAGGAGAGUGGAAUUCCACAUGUAGCGGUGAAAUGCGUAGAUAUGUGGAGGAACACCAAUGGCGAAGGCAGCUCUCUGGCCUGAUACUGACGCUGAGGUGCGAAAGCGUGGGGAGCAAACAGGAUUAGAUACCCCAGUAGUC
RNAcentral lists this ribosomal RNA (465 nucleotides) under uncultured bacterium. Its description in RNAcentral is "partial 16S ribosomal RNA". It matches the Rfam family "Bacterial small subunit ribosomal RNA", at positions 339 to 795 of the family's 1533-position model. The record is from RNAcentral.